This 1385-nucleotide ribosomal RNA is filed under the name metagenome. RNAcentral's name for it is "bacterial SSU rRNA". It matches the Rfam family "Bacterial small subunit ribosomal RNA". The record is from RNAcentral.
ACGGGUGCGUAACGCGUAUGCAACCUACCUUAAUCAGGGGGAUAGCCCGAAGAAAUUCGGAUUAACACCGCAUAAAAACACAGUACAGCAUUGUACAAUGUUCAAAUAUUUAUAGGAUUAAGAUGGGCAUGCGUGUCAUUAGCUAGUUGGCGGGGUAACGGCCCACCAAGGCGACGAUGACUAGGGGAUCUGAGAGGAUGACCCCCCACACUGGUACUGAGACACGGACCAGACUCCUACGGGAGGCAGCAGUAAGGAAUAUUGGACAAUGGAGGCAACUCUGAACCAGCCAUGCCGCGUGCAGGAAGACAGCCCUCUGGGUCGUAAACUGCUUUUAUUCGGGAAUAAACCACAUUACGUGUAAUGUGCUGAAUGUACCGAAGGAAUAAGGAUCGGCUAACUCCGUGCCAGCAGCCGCGGUAAUACGGAGGAUCCAAGCGUUAUCCGGAUUUAUUGGGUUUAAAGGGUGCGUAGGCGGCUUAUUAAGUCAGGGGUGAAAGACGGUGGCUCAACCAUCGCAGUGCCUUUGAUACUGAUGAGCUUGAAUACACUAGAGGUAGGCGGAAUGUGACAAGUAGCGGUGAAAUGCAUAGAUAUGUCACAGAACACCGAUUGCGAAGGCAGCUUACUAUGGUGUGAUUGACGCUGAGGCACGAAAGCGUGGGGAUCAAACAGGAUUAGAUACCCUGGUAGUCCACGCCCUAAACGAUGAAUACUCGCUGUUAGCGAUAUACAGUUAGCGGCUAAGCGAAAGCGUUAAGUAUUCCACCUGGGGAGUACGCCCGCAAGGGUGAAACUCAAAGGAAUUGACGGGGGCCCGCACAAGCGGAGGAGCAUGUGGUUUAAUUCGAUGAUACGCGAGGAACCUUACCCGGGCUUGAAAGUUAGUGAAUCAUUUAGAGAUAGAUGAGUCCGCAAGGACACGAAACUAGGUGCUGCAUGGCUGUCGUCAGCUCGUGCCGUGAGGUGUUGGGUUAAGUCCCGCAACGAGCGCAACCCCUAUGUUUAGUUGCCAGCACGUUAUGGUGGGGACUCUAAACAGACUGCCUGUGCAAACAGAGAGGAAGGAGGGGACGACGUCAAGUCAUCAUGGCCCUUACGUCCGGGGCUACACACGUGCUACAAUGGAUGGUACAGAGGGCAGCAAGCUGGCAACAGCAAGCGAAUCUCAAAAAGCCAUUCACAGUUCGGAUAGAGGUCUGCAACUCGACCUCUUGAAGUUGGAUUCGCUAGUAAUCGCGUAUCAGCAAUGACGCGGUGAAUACGUUCCCGGGCCUUGUACACACCGCCCGUCAAGCCAUGGAAGUUGGGGGUACCUAAAGUAUGUAACCGCAAGGAGCGUCCUAGGGUAAAACCGAUAACUGGGGCUAAGUCGUAACAAGGUA